AAAUUCAUUCUAUUUUCAGUAUAUUAUUAUAUUUACUCUAUCUAUUUUCUGAACAUUAUCUUCAUAUCUUCUUUUCGAGCCAUCAUUGUCACUUCCUUUAAUCUAUUGUCUGGCCAAAAAUAGCCGUGCAAAUUGGCCGAAUCCUUCCUUGAGUGUCAAGUGGCCCUUCUCAUACAUAUUUAGCUAGCCAUUCAAGUUAUAUCUAUCUAUUAAUGAUUUCUCAUCUCUAGUCCUGUAUCAAUUCGAUAUUCUUUGUCUUGGCAUCCUUCCAUACAAAUACUACUACAAAGUUGUAUUUUAGUUACUCCAGCUUCUUCAACGGAGAAGCCACACAUUUUUGUCCUUUGGCUACAUUAAGUAGAUCUUCUUCUUUUUACUACUUCUGUUGGAGUUUACCACUCCCUUUUCAUUCACUCCAACAGAAAAUCAUCAGCUAGUUGUUACAAACUAAAUAAGGUAUCUGAGAGACAACAAUGGUUAAAUGCAAUACAAUGUACAGGUUUUACUAGCGAAAUGAAAAUUUUCCUGUCCUGUCUGCUGUAAUCAUUUUAUAUCUGGAAAACCAGCCGACUUAAUCGAUAAUAACAAUCUCCAGAUUGGGUUCCUUCAAUAAAUAUGGUCUAUAAACACAAUGAAAUAAGUUCCCCAAACUCUAAAAUGGAGUGGUAUCAAAGGAGAAUUAAAGGGAAAAAUAUUCAUAUUGAAAUUAUUUAUAAGGCACUGGACUGUCUUAAAUUCUACAAUAAUACUAGAAUCAGCUGAGAGAAGUGGUCUACAAAAAACCAUGAAGGAAACGGAAUAUGUGGCUACGAAAGGCAAAAGAAAGGUUUACAAAGCAAAUGUGACACAUCUUUUUGAAAUAUUUAGGAAUAUCAGUAAAUUGCAUUGAAAAAAUGUAUGAAAAGAUUUUGUUCAAUAAAAAUGUUUAUAUUUA
Long non-coding RNA from Diabrotica virgifera virgifera (western corn rootworm), 934 nucleotides. RefSeq lists it as uncharacterized. The transcript has 3 exons. The record is from RefSeq and is a predicted model, not a curated record. Lineage: Eukaryota; Metazoa; Arthropoda; Insecta; Coleoptera; Chrysomelidae.